Cervus elaphus (red deer) is the source of this 1307-nucleotide long non-coding RNA. RefSeq lists it as uncharacterized. The record is from RefSeq and is a predicted model, not a curated record. The transcript is spliced from 5 exons. NCBI's taxonomy places the organism in Eukaryota, Metazoa, Chordata, Mammalia, Artiodactyla, Cervidae.
GGUUGCCAAAAUCCAUCAAAAACGGUAACAGUCAAGGAAGGACUCUCUGUUCGAUUGCCCAGAGGGAAUGUAACCCUGUCACCGCAGAUAUUAGACCCUGACUUCAAGAACUACGAGGGAAAGAAAAAAAGUUCUGUUGUUUAGAGCCACCCAGUUUGUGGGAGCUCCUCGAAGCAACCACAGAAAACUGAUACACCCAGCCAGACCUUGGAUCCUAUUCUUGCCUUGCUGACAGUCCUGAUCCUGUAUUCUCUGAUGGUCUAUCACAGCUAACAGAGGUGGUCCUACUGUCUCUGUCGCCCAGUCACAACUGUCGCCCAGUUCCUUUUGGGGGAUGAAGUGAUGUUCAAAGACAGCUGGUGAAGAUUUCAGGGACAGUUGAUGCUGGUGAAGAUAACUACAGAACCCCUUUGACUAUUCUCCAGCACCUCUGGAAUAUAAGAUGGUGGAGUAGGACCUGCACUCAACUUCUGCGAGAACUACAAAAUUACAGUUCGUUGCUGAACAACCUUCACCAGGAGAAUGUGGAUCCCACCAAAAAGAGAUAUGCCACGCCCAAGGACAAAGGAGAAACCCCAGCAAGAUGAUCUGUUUCUGUUCUCUAAAUAAGUUGAUUGCUAUCAUAUUUUAGAUUUACAAAUGAGAGCUGGGAGCUGCCUACCCCUUCAUUUUGCUGACAUCACUCUGAGGCAUCACGAAAUGUAUUCUUUAAAAGAUAUUUUUCAUCUCUCCCAGGACUACUUAGAAGCUCAUGGGUGAAGUUCUGUGACAAAUGAAGCCAUCUAGCACUACUUUAAGCCUUAGAGACUCUGGAGGCUUGAUGGUCAGAGGAGUGAAAACCUUACGUGUUCUCAACACCAGGUGGGGUAGCUUCUGGAAGAAAUAAGAAUUUAGCAGAGUCUGGAAGGUUAAGUAGGAUUCAGACAGAUGAUAGAGGAAGUGGGGAGCAUUCUGAUUUAGAUGAAGUGCUGUGUUGCCAAUAUACAUAGAAUUCUGUAGACUGACUAGUGUCCCUGGAGCAGAAAUUUAUUUAUGGGAAAACAAGUAAAAAAUUAAAUUAAUUUAAUGCAUGUAUAACCUGUGUUUCAGCAACAUGAUUUCAAAACUCCAGGCUUUUACAAAGGCUUUGUUUCACCAAUAUCUCCUGAGCUGGAGGAUAAAAUAGUAUCAAAUGGGAUUCAGGAAGUCGGAAAAGUUAUAGAGUAGAAUUUAUGUGAUUUAAUGAUUUUAUGCUUCUAUGAUUUCCCUUCUCCUGUAUAAUGACUAGUGCUGCUAUUAUCUUCAGUCUUAUUACAGUUUGUAUGCCA